Molecule: unclassified non-coding RNA, 215 nt
Filed under: Hevea brasiliensis (rubber tree)
Lineage: Eukaryota; Viridiplantae; Streptophyta; Magnoliopsida; Malpighiales; Euphorbiaceae
Source: RNAcentral
CGGCUCGUCGUCGUCGGCGACGUCGCGCCGCGCCAAGCCGAGGAAGAAGUGAAACAAACGGGGUGACAUAUAAAAAACCAUACAUACCUUCCCGGUGGUGCUGCAUCAUCUGUUACUGUAAAGCCGUGUGAGCCAUGGAUCUGGGGCAUGUCUAUACACUCGAGUGACACAUGAGUUUGUACUGCUUAUAAACACAUAUAUAUUUGUCAGGUUAG